RNAcentral lists this unclassified non-coding RNA (103 nucleotides) under uncultured fungus. RNAcentral's name for it is "sequence contains ITS1". Lineage: Eukaryota; Fungi. The record is from RNAcentral.
UUGAUUUUAAGCGGACCGAACUUUUUUGGUGAGGUCUUGCGAAAAUUUAUAUUUAAAACAUCCUACUCGUAAAAAAAUUUAUGAAUCAUUAUAUAAUUUAAGA